RNAcentral lists this ribosomal RNA (460 nucleotides) under uncultured bacterium. RNAcentral's name for it is "partial 16S ribosomal RNA". It matches the Rfam family "Bacterial small subunit ribosomal RNA", at positions 338 to 795 of the family's 1533-position model. The record is from RNAcentral.
CCUACGGGAGGCUGCAGUGAGGAAUAUUGGUCAAUGGACGAGAGUCUGAACCAGCCAAGUAGCGUGAAGGAUGACUGCCCUAUGGGUUGUAAACUUCUUUUAUAUGGGAAUAAAACGUUCCACGUGUGGGAUUUUGUAUGUACCAUAUGAAUAAGGAUCGGCUAACUCCGUGCCAGCAGCCGCGGUAAUACGGAGGAUCCGAGCGUUAUCCGGAUUUAUUGGGUUUAAAGGGAGCGUAGGUGGAUUUUUAAGUCAGUUGUGAAAGUUUGCGGCUCAACCGUAAAAUUGCAGUUGAAACUGGCAGUCUUGAGUACAGUAGAGGUGAGCGGAAUUCGUGGUGUAGCGGUGAAAUGCUUAGAUAUCACGAAGAACUCCGAUUGCGAAGGCAGUUCACUGGACUGCAACUGACACUGAGGCUCGAAAGUGUGGGUAUCAAACAGGAUUAGAUACCCUUGUAGUC